Molecule: long non-coding RNA, 328 nt
Organism: Anguilla anguilla (European eel)
Lineage: Eukaryota; Metazoa; Chordata; Actinopteri; Anguilliformes; Anguillidae
Exons: 2
Source: RefSeq, a predicted model, not a curated record
GACGUUCCCCUGAGGUCAAUACUUAGAUGUAAUAUUAAUUAAUAACCCCAAGGAACAUACUAUGUGUGGUAUGAUAUUAGGCUGUGUGUACCGACAACUGUCGGUAUUUCCCCUCGAGCGCCACGAUUUGAACUAACCGGGAGAAAUAUACUACCGACUACGUCAGUGUAAAUGAAUCCUCACUCGUUGCAUAGGCCAGUAGUAGCAGCAGCAGGAGCAGCAGUGAUGUGAAGCACGUGUUCAACGAUGACGUGAUGACUAUGUGUACGACCACCUGGAGGAAGCCCUUCGUCCAGUCAAGCCCUUCGGUUUGAGGCCGUCUAUUUUU